UAAUAACCAUUAUUGGAUAUCCGUUGGGAUAAGUGUUUAACAUUUUGAAAUUCAUGUUCAUACACAAAAUGUUUUAGUAACAUCGAUAUGCAUCAAGCCAAUGAAUAAUUAAUAGUUUUCCCCAUUAUUAUUGGUUUUGGGUCAGAAACCAAAUAGUUUUCAUCUAAAAGCUUUGAAUGUGAAAAGUGCUCCACCACAGCAUGCAGAGAUGAACCCUCAAAGGAGGAUAAGAAUACAUGUUGGAUAUGAAUGAUAACUAAGCCAUCCUAGAAGGAUUUAUAUACCGCUCGUUUUGAAGACUAUCAUAUUAUAUAGUCAGCUAUUCCAACAUAAGGGGGAGAAUGUAUACAGCUAGUGAAAAAGAUAAAUAGAAAUGAAUUAUCAAUGAUCCUCGGAGUAAAGAAUGUAUAUUAAGAGUCCAAAAGAUAAUUCAAUUACAGAAUUUAGCGUUGUAAUUGCCAGACGCAUUUGCUGACCCAAAUAAAGUGAUGAAGUCACUUAUACCAGUUGUAAAUUAAAUGCUCUAGAAUAUAAUGAAUGUCCUGUAAGGACCAAUUUCAAACUGUUAUUGAGUCUUAAGAUCGCAUGAAGCGUAAUAGACCUUGGUUCCAAAUAUAAAUAUCCUCGUAA
Molecule: small RNA, 630 nt
Filed under: Arabidopsis thaliana (thale cress)
Lineage: Eukaryota; Viridiplantae; Streptophyta; Magnoliopsida; Brassicales; Brassicaceae
Description: ATSL224380
Source: RNAcentral